Molecule: long non-coding RNA, 7536 nt
Filed under: Sus scrofa (pig)
Lineage: Eukaryota; Metazoa; Chordata; Mammalia; Artiodactyla; Suidae
Description: lncRNA (ENSSSCG00000055704.1)
Source: RNAcentral
AUUAUAAAAUACAAUUAAAAAUGAAAAAGCAUCUGAAGCAGACCUCCCCACAGGCCCACCCCUGCCACCACUUGUCCUCAAAGUUGACAUUUGAGUCUCAAGGGUAAUCAAGAACACAGAAUUCAUUCCAAAAAUCUCUGUGGCUCAGUUGGAACAACUGUUUGUGUUUAUAAGGCACAUGGUUUGAUGAAGAUUACAUUUAUUUUAGAUUAGUCUGGGGGCUGGCCUUGUUGUUUUAAAAAUCUAAAGAAGAAAUUACAAAUUUAAACAGUUUGUGUUAGUGGCAAAGCCUGCUGUUUGCUCUAGCAGAUGCUGUCAGUGCUCUGCCCACAUUCUGUGGGCACUUGUUCUACUAAAAGCACCUAGGAUUCCCUACUAGGCAGCUUUCUUCAGGCCUCCCUGGGGCACAGGCUGGGAGUCUGGGGGAUUAGCACCCCUGGUAGGAACCCCAGCACAACCCAGUUGGGUAACUCUGAGAAUAUGUCCUUUAUCUCCCUUCUUUCUCUCACUUUCCUUCUUCCCUGGUAUUUCCUGUUUCCUUCUCCUGAAUAAAAUACUUACAUACUGUUUAAGGUGUGGUUCUCCUGUAACCUAAACUAAGACCAUUAUCUUCCCAAUAGUUAUAUACCUUAUUUCUUGUCAAUGUGACUUGCAUUUCCCUGGUGUUCCAAACUUCCAGUUCAAGUUCAUGAGCUUCAGGGGAGGCUGGCUCACCCCCACCGCAGUGGAGGGGUCUUGAUUUGUCUAGACCCAGAGCACUGUUCCUGUUCUUCUGCGUGAGCAGGUGGCUUAGGUACAACCAAUGAGACCUGGAGGCAAGUCAGCCAGAGGACUUCGAAGACAUAGGAAAAGCAAGUUUAUUUUCAUUCCCUGGCUUUGGUCACGUCUGGAUAAGAUGCUAGAAGUGGUGGAGUCAUCUUGCAACCAUGAGGUAAGACCUUGAGGGAACAGAGACAACAUGGAGGACACAGAACCACGAGAACCCCCAAGAGCAGAGGUAGAACCAUAAUUAUUCACAUCUGGAGCUGCCCCGCCUUUGAAAUCCUUGUUCUGUGAAAUAAUUCCUGUUGAGUAAAGCAAUUGAGUCGUGGUUGUUUUUUGUUACUCCAGGCAAAAAACACCUAAUUAAUAAAUUUUUAGGACUAGAGAAAGCAAACCCCACAAUCUUUAGAGUGUCAAGAGUCUGGAUGUGGUCACUAGAGCAGAAGUCAAGAGCCAAAAGAGGAAAAACAAUUCAAGGAAAGGGGGGCAGAGAUGGAAUCCUAUUCACCGAGUAAUACCAGCAAACAAAGCUAGAAUGUACAAACCAGGAAAGGAGGGCACUAAGAGUGGAUAUCAGCCAACCUGCCUUCCUUCUUCCUUUCUUCCACUCCAUUUGUAAGCACAAACUCUGUCCCAGGCACUUCCAGGAGCUGAGCAUUCAGUGGUGAGCAAGAUUGACAGGCCAUAGCCCUUGGGACACUUGCAACCAAGAAAAUCACUAGCAAGUUGGAGCCUAGGAGUGCAUUUUAAAGCAAGAAUAAGGAAGGUGGACCCAGGUAUGGACCCAGAUAAAACUCUGUGGAGCAGCUGGAUGCUAUUUCUGAUGCCUUCCCCCAAUCACGUGGGCAUCUUGACUCCCAGUCUCGCCUCAAUGGAGGCAGGAAAGACUCCUAACAUUAGGCAGCAUCUGUGCCUAAAAUCCCCAGAGAAAGAACUCUUCCGAAGGCCUCACUGGAACUCUGUGAAAUUGGCACUAUUUGGUAAAUGGCCCGUUAGAAGAGAAAAAUCACUUAUUGAAAAAAUGAAAACAAAAAGCAACAAAAAACAAACACACACACACACAAAACCCAUCCAGAUGGAAACUGGUAUUUGGCAAAUGAUUUUUUCCCCUCAAGUUAGAAAUGACCUAUGUUGAAAAUGUCAGGUAAGAUCAAUCUUUUUUUUUUCUUUUUUUUUAAAUUUUUUAAUGGUUAACUGUUUCCAUUUCAAGGUCCAAAGUUGACCAGAUUCAGCAUUUCUGCCACCAGGGAGCGCUGUGCCCAGUGAACAGUGGGGUAGGCUGGCCUGCACUUCCCGCAUUGCCCACAAGGGGCGCUUAGCCAGCCUCGCGGACCCCCAGCGCAUGCUCUGUUCUGUGGCGUAGAGCCGAGCUGACUUGCCGCCUACCCAGGCUGGGCACCCCAUGUCGGAGUCUCAGCUGACAGAGCUCAGUCCCAGUGAGACCAGCUGGGAUUUCAGCUUCAGGACAGUGGCAGUGGAACCCUGGGUUUCCUGAUGAUGCAGGCAAUACUGGGAGGAAAAGGUGAGGAAAAAAGAGAAGUGAGGAAAAGUGAAAAGCUUCCUGUGUGCCACUGACUGCUGUGGCUCAUCUGUCUUCAGAUGACCCAGGAAGGGCUCAACUUGGAAAACUUUUUUUUAAGUCAAUUAUGUGUGUGGUGCAGAGGUUGGAAGGUGGUCCAGAUUUCCCAGCACCCUUUAUUGUGGGGACUGUCCUUCCUCUUGGUGUGUCCUUGGCCCCUGUGUCAUGAAUUAAGUGACCCUCUCCAUGUGGGUUGAAUUCUGAGCUUUCUAUUUAUUUCCUCUGGCCUCUGCACCUGUUUUGUGGCCAGUUCCACACUGUUUUGGUGACCAUCGCUCUGCAAAAUAGUUCAAAGACAGCCAAAGUAGUUUGACGUCUAUGCAAGAGGCAUGGAGGCUCCCCACCUGCAAAUCAUUUUGUGAAUCCAUGUGGCCUGGUGGGGGGUUGGGCCGUGAGGAAGUGAUAGGGCUAGGGACUUAGGAUCACUAUGGAAGAAUUCUGAGAGCAAAGCCUCACACAACUCUAGUGCCACCAUGUCAUUCCCACCAACAAGUAACCUCUUUUUUUUUUUAAUGUUGGAAUAUAGUUGAUUUACAGUUGCUACAUUAGUUUCAGGUGUACAGCAAAGUGAAUCAGUUAUACAUAUAGAUAUAGCCAUUCCUUUUCAGAUUCUUUUCCCAUAUGAGGUUAUUACACAGUAUCACAUAUAUUUCCCUGUGUUAUACAGUAGGUCCUUGUCUGUUAUCUGUUUUAUAUAUAGUAGUGUGCAUGUUAUUCUCAUUCCUAAUUCAUCCCUCCCACAGUCACCUCUUUUUUGUUUUUUAUUUUUGUGGGAAAGCUCUUUACUGGGGGCAUCCAGCAGAAGGAGCAAGGCCAUCUCCCCCUACUUGGAAAUCUGUAUGGAUAAGUUCAUAGUCAGCAGGGGAAAAAAUACUUGGAAUAUCUUCCCCGGCACAGAAAGGAUGUCAGCCACUCAGAUACUCAUUUUACUAUAACCAGUUGCAGAAAAACUUGGAAGAAGGGAAGUCUUGACUUCUGCCUAUCCCUCUGGAAGAAAUUAUUUUAGAAUUAAAAGGUGAACAGAGACAAAGUGUGAAACUAUACUUUUUUCUCUUGGAAUUUAUGCCAUAAAAACCGAAUCCUGAAGAUGGUAGGUACCCAUUUCUGAGUGUCAAGCUAUAAAUUGACCCAAACAUCUCUGAAACAUAAAGUGCAACAUGAUAGAUAUAGAUUAUCCUUUAGUAUUGAUGAGCCUCUGAGAUUUACUUAGAUGUUUUACUGAAUGUUUAUCAUUUAUGCAUUAAAUCUGGUAACACCUUUUUUUUUUUUUGCACUGAACUGCAGAUGCCGUGUUAUCUACCUACUGCUGUUCUCCUUUGUAUAUGCUCUGCUUUAUUUUCAAAUGUAUCAGAAAUAUCCACACAUACACAUUUAUGCUCUCUUUUCAAGGUAAUAUGGCUGGUAAUUAUGUUAUAAAAAUGUAUGAUUAUUGCUAAAAAUAUAUGGGUCUCUGAAAUUAAAAUAUUCUUUAAUAUUUUUGAUUCAUUUAUUUAUUCAUUCCACAAAUAUUUGUGAAACAUCUAAACAGGCUACAUGCUAGAAUACUGGGCUGCAAGCUAGAUUUGUCACUAUAAGUCUGUCUUUAGAAACUGCUUUUCUGCAGUUACCUUACAAUGGAACCAGUUAAUCAUGAGUUAUUAAUACCAAGGUUUGAAUAAUAAAGUGGUACAAGAUGGCAAAAGAUAGGUGCAAGAUCAGAUUCAGACCCUAAGAUUCUUAGAAUGGAAGAUACAUCAUAAAAAUGGGAGUUCUGUCAUGGCUCCUGUCAUGGCUCAGCGAAUCUGACUACUUUUCAUGAGGACAAGAAGUUUGAUCCCUGGCCUCUGUCAGUGGGUUAAGCAUCCGGUGUUGCCGUGUGGUGUAGGUUGCAGAUGCGGCUCGGAUCUGGCAUUGCUGUGGCUGUGGCGUAGGCCAGUGGCUACAGCUCCAAUUCGACCCCUAGGCUGGGAACCUCUAUAUGCCAAGGGAGCAGCCCUAAAAAGACAAAAAAAAAAAAAAAGAUGAUCAAGAGAUCAUGAAGACCAUGGGAAAAUCUGAGACACACUCAAAGAAACUUACAAGCAACUGACAAAUUGUUGGUGACAGAGAUCUGUGCUCAAAGCCCUGAGCUCCAUUCUUUAGUUCCUGUUGGUGCCUGAGAGGUACGCCUAGUAGCACCUACAAAGCACAAUUUUCAACCACCUGAGACAUCAUCACAGAAGACCAAUCCCUCUACAGGCUUUAUGCUUUUUUUCCACCAAGUUCCAGUUGCUCUCCAGUUCUGAAUGCAGAAUUUCAACACUGUUUCGUAAAGGGGUGUGAUUUGGAUUCAUUCUGACACAUCCAUCUGUGGCUCAUCCUCUUUGUUUCAUGACAAAGCAUCAUUUAUGCCACCUGAAAUCCUUAUCUUCUAAUGCAUAGAACAAAACAUCACAUCAUCAGUCAACAAGUUGGAAAAGGGGAGACUUAAGGCAGCAAUAACAAACUAAGUCCCCCUACAUGUGCCAAUUUUAAUGGGAGAUGUAGGCAGUUGGCAGGCUAGUGUUGAGAGCCCUGAAAUCCAAAGGCAACCUCUGACCAGUGAUGUAAAUUCAGAAAUUCUGCUUCAUCAUUUUUCUCAGAAGAAAUCAGGCUCUGUAAGCUCUCUUUAAUCCACUAUCUCAGGGAAGACAGAAAUCAGUAUGGUAAUUAGUUAUUUACAGCCAGAAUGCCUGUAACUUUUCCCAAUCUCAAGGGAAACCCAUCAGGAGUUUUCUCGAAGACCAUGGACUAAAAAUAAAUGAAGUGAAGGAUUUUUCAUCAGACAGUGGCAAAGCCUGGUGAUCUGAUGUUAUUCCAUGUCAUCCAAGCGCUCAUGCUGGGCAGAAGGAGCUGUGGGUUCUCAAUAAGGCAUCAUUUCCAGGACCUACAAUUCUGAUUCAGAAUGAGCACCAGAGUAGAGCAGAGCUGACCCAGAGUCAGGCUGUAUGAAGCAAGUAGGGAGGUAAGGCUGGGAAUGACUCAGACCCAAAGAGUCAAAAGGAAAUCUGACCUUGUGGAUACGUCCACCAGGCUGAUGGCUUUUCUCCUGGCUCCCACUUCUGCUCAGUCGACAGGCACCACUGGCAGGACAUCAGAAAGUACAGGAAGGAUGACAUCAUUGCAAUGGAUCUCAAACAUUUUGGUCUUUGACUCAUUUACUCUCUUAAAAGAUCAAAAGUAUAUCUGUUGGUAUUAGAAAUGAACACAAUUUAUACCUAUUGAUUUUACUGUAUUAGAAAUUAAAACUGAAAAAUUACACUAAUGACUGAGCUAUAGGAACAGAGAAUCUAUUGGUGUUAGAAAAUUAACUUAUUAAUAUAGUUCAAGAGUAAUAAUUCCAUAGUACCUUAACAUGUGUUUAUGAAGCAUGACUGUAUUUACCCAAACAAGCAAUAAUUUGUGAUAAAAUUGACACAUUUCACAUUUUUGCAAAUCCACUUAAUAUCUGGCUAAGUAGGAGACAGCUGGAUUUUCAGAUCUGCUUCUGCAUUCAAUCUCCCGCCGUAUCAUACAUCAUUGAGUUCCUGAAAAAUUCCACUGUAUACUCAUGAGAACAUUAAACAAUGCAAAUGUCUCAGUAUUAUUAGGAAAAUACUUUUGAAAAUACCUAAGAAAGAAAAUACUUUUGAAAAUACACCAAGGAGUCCCCACAGCACACUUUGAAAACUGCUGGUUGGACUAUUAUUGCCCCUGACUCUCUCGUUUGUAGGCUACAAGCUGGCAGUGGUGGUGCCCCAUAGUCAGAGCUAUAUCUCCUGUUGGGUAGCCAUUCCCUAGCCUCCCCUGAGCCUGUGUUCCCUGUUGUUGCUAAAAGCUCCCUGUUGUUGCUAGCCCUAGUUGCUUCCAAGCCCUUGCUGGCUUCUCUUAAUCUUGCCCACACCUUUUUUUGUAAGUAGGCCCUUCAUUAAACUCUCACCGAUCAUCUUUUGUCAUGCCUGUGUGUGCAGUGGGCAGACUCUAAGCUGGUCUCCAGUGAUCCCCCUCCUUGUGCUCAUGCCUCUGUGCAAUCCCCACCCCUUGUGGGUGGGCAGGACCUGGGAUUUGCUUCUAACUAGUAGAACGUGGCAAAAGUGGUGGGAUGUCUCUCUCUCACAUGCGCGCGCGCACACACACACACACACACACACACACACACACACACACACCAGUUGCGUUAUGUUGUGUAAGACUCUUCUUCCAUUCUCUCCUUGAUGGAGGAAGUGGCCCAUGGGAAAGGUAACUGUGUGACAAGAGCUGCAGACAGCCUCUAGGGGUGCGGCACAGCCUGCAGCUAACAACCAGCAGGAGCUAACCCCCAGCCACACAGCGACAAGGAGAUGAGCUCUGAGCUUCAAAGGGACUCUGCCCCUUUGAGCCCCCAAAUAAAAAUACAGCCCAUCAACACCUUGAUCACAGCCCUAUGAGACCUGAGUGGAGGAUUCAGAUUUGGCAACAUUCCUAAUCCAUGGAAAUUGGAAUAAUACAGGCAGACUACUUUAAGCUGCUAAAUUUUUGGUAAUUUGUUACAUAGCAAUAGAUAUCUAAGUGCCAUCUUCCUCCCCAACCCUGACUCAUAAACUUUCUGCACACUAUUAAACAUUUUAUUUGACCACUGCUGUCCAAUUUUUUUUCCCCACUGUAUGGAAACAACCCAAAUGUCCAUCAACAGAUGAUUGGAUUAGGAAGAUGUGAUAUAUAUACACAAUGGAAUACUGCUGUCCAAUUUUUAAUGGCCUUCCCAUAUUCAUUUUCAUGUCGCAUGAUAGCUACAAAGGAAGUAAAAACUGUAUGUGCGGAAGUGUGUCAUGAUACUGGAGUUUUUGGUUUUUUUGUUUGUUUUUUUUUUUUUUUGGCUACACCCAUGGCAUGUGGGAGUUCCUGAGCCAGGGAACAAACCUGAACCAAGCCACAGCAGUGACCUGAGACGCAGCAGUUAUAAUGCCAUUUCCUUAACCCAUUGAGCCAUCAGGGAACUCUGAGUUUUUAUUAUUUAAACUUGGAUCAAGGAGUUCCUGUUGUGGCUUAGCUGGUUAAGGAUCCUACAUUGUCUCUAAGGAUGCAGAUUUGAUCCCUGGCCUGCUGAGCGGUUGAAGGAUCCAAGGUUGCUGUAAGCUGCAGCAUAGCUCGCAGAUUCAGGACAGAUCUGGUGUUGCUGUGAUUGUGGCAUAGGCCACAGCUGCAGCUCUGAUUCAACCCCUGGCCCAGGAAAUUCCAUA